Molecule: ribosomal RNA, 253 nt
Filed under: uncultured bacterium
Lineage: Bacteria
Description: partial 16S ribosomal RNA
Rfam family: Bacterial small subunit ribosomal RNA
Source: RNAcentral
GACAGAGGGGACUAGCGUUGUUCGGAAUUACUGGGCGUAAAGCGCGUGUAGGCGGUCCGGUAAGUCCGCUGUGAAAGUCGGGGGCUCAACCCUCGGAUGCCGGUGGAUACUGUCGGGCUUGAGUACGGAAGAGGCGAGUGGAAUUCCUGGUGUAGCGGUGAAAUGCGCAGAUAUCAGGAGGAACACCAAUUGCGAAGGCAGCUCGCUGGGACGUUACUGACGCUGAGACGCGAAAGCGUGGGGAGCAAACAGG